AGAGAAUAUUAGGGAGAUCGAGGGAGUCAUGCGGUGGAGUCCAUCGUCUCAGCCCAAGUGACAAAGAACAAAAGGCUGACAGUCCAGACCUACUACCAUUCAUUCUAAAUUCAUAUUACCGAAUGCCAUUUAAACCUUUUAGAAUCUAUCUUAGCUCUUCGCACCCCAGUGCCACUAGCCACCAGGUUGCCGUCGUCCUGCCGUGUUCACAGUUCACACCGCCAUCAAACAGUAAUUUUUGGGUUUUAAAUUUAUACCUUUUAGUUACAUGGAAUUAUAUUCUAUAUAUGAAUAUGGUUAUUGAUUUUGGAUUGUGUAGAUUGUAGGAAUAUGUUUGUAUUGAGAAAAUGAUUGUGAAUAUGUGAUAAAUUUUAUCAUGGUUCUUGAUUUUGGACAGUGAACAGAAGGUGUUUGUGGAAAUGUCUUUAAGAAAAAAUUAGAUUUCAUUUUCUUUA
This is a long non-coding RNA of Carya illinoinensis, 455 nucleotides long. RefSeq lists it as uncharacterized. The record is from RefSeq and is a predicted model, not a curated record. The transcript is spliced from 2 exons. NCBI's taxonomy places the organism in Eukaryota, Viridiplantae, Streptophyta, Magnoliopsida, Fagales, Juglandaceae.